CGCGGUAUUUUGACUGUGCGAAGGUAGCAUAAUCACUUGUUUUUUAAUUGAAGACUUGUAUGAAUGGCUGAACGAGAAAAUAACUGUCUCUUUUAAAAAUCUUGAAUUUUACUUUUUAGUGAAAAGGCUUAAAUAACUUUAAGGGACGAUAAGACCCUAUAAAUCUUCAUAUUAUUUUUCUUUAAAUUUCAAAUUAUAUAUUAAAAGAAAAAAAGAAAAAAAUAUUAUAUUGGGGAGAUAAAAAUAUAAUUUUUAACUGUUUUAAACAUAAAACAAUAAUUUUUGAUUUACUAAUAUUGAUCCUUUUUAAAGAUUUUAAGAUUAAGUUACUUUAGGGAUAACAGCGUAAUUUUUUUUGAGAGUUCAUAUCGAAAAAAAAGUUUGCGACCUCGAUGUUGAAUUAAAAUAUCCUUAUAAGUGCAGAAGCUAUAAAGGAAAGUCUGUUCGACUUUUAAAAUUUUACAU
Molecule: ribosomal RNA, 465 nt
Filed under: Aegla paulensis
Lineage: Eukaryota; Metazoa; Arthropoda; Malacostraca; Decapoda; Aeglidae
Description: partial 16S large subunit ribosomal RNA
Rfam family: Bacterial large subunit ribosomal RNA
Source: RNAcentral